UACGGAGGAUGCGAGCGUUAUCCGGAUUUAUUGGGUUUAAAGGGUGCGUAGGCGGAUCGUUAAGUCAGUGGUCGAAUUGAGGGGCUCAACCCCUUCCCGCCAUUGAAACUGGCGAUCUUGAGUGGAAGAGAAGUAUGCGGAAUGCGUGGUGUAGCGGUGAAAUGCAUAGAUAUCACGCAGGACCCCGAUUGCGAAGGCAGCAUGCCGGCUUCCUACUGACGCUGAAGCACGAAAGCGUGGGGAUCGAACAGG
RNAcentral lists this ribosomal RNA (252 nucleotides) under uncultured bacterium. RNAcentral describes it as "partial 16S ribosomal RNA". It matches the Rfam family "Bacterial small subunit ribosomal RNA", at positions 524 to 776 of the family's 1533-position model. The record is from RNAcentral.